Theobroma cacao (cacao) is the source of this 1242-nucleotide non-coding RNA. NCBI's taxonomy places the organism in Eukaryota, Viridiplantae, Streptophyta, Magnoliopsida, Malvales, Malvaceae. The record is from RefSeq and is a predicted model, not a curated record.
UGAAGAAAAAGUGUGGGAUUUCAAGGGAUUAAGCUAAUAAAGGCUCAGGAUAGUAUAUAGAUAGCUGAUUCAUCGAGGACCACCGUUGGAUUUGCAUCCUCCAAACUAUAGAUUCACAUUCUUUCUUACUUUUGGUCGCUCGUGGGUCCACGUGUCACUAUGAUGAAGGAAUUUGAAAUAAUUGACUUGGGGAAGAUGAGCUAUUUUUUGGGGAUGGAAGUGCAACAAUCUACAAGAUAGAUUUUCUUGCAUCAAGCUAAGUAUGCUAAGGACCUACUGAAAAGGUUUGAUAUGAGCUUGUGUAAGGUGGUAAGCACACCUUUCACUACUGGAGCUAAGUUUAGCAAAGAAGAUGGUUCUCCCAAAGCCAAUGGACAGAUUUACAGAAGCAUUAUUGGAUCUCUCUUAUACCUGUUUGCUACCAAGCCAGACAUAAUGUUUGCAACCUGGUUGUUGUCAAGGUUUAUGCAAGAACCUUCACAAAUACACUUCACAGCUGCCAAACGGAUUCCAAGCUACAAAUCAUGCAUUGUGGCUGAGGAAAAGGUUGCUAGAUUUAGGAUUUGAACAAAGUCAAGGCACUCUGAUAUGUGUUGACAAUUUGUUUGUUGUUUCAAUUGCUAAAAAUCCAGUUCAAUAUCGGAGAACUACACAUAUUAGGGUCAAAUAUCAUGCCCUGAAAGAAGCUGUAAAAGAGAAUGAAGGUGAGUUGAAACACUGCAAGACAGAGAACCAGUUGGCUGACAUUUUUACCAAGAGCUUGGGAAGAGAAAGGUUUGAGCAUCUCAGAUCGUGUCUUGGAGUUCAGCAGAUUAUGAAUCAUGGGGCAGUGUUGAAGUACUGAUUCCCAACCUAGUUAAAUAUGUGGCUCGAACUAGCUGAAAAUUAAAGGUUGAAGAAGAUUCUCAACAAGGGAUCGUUUUUAGUUUGCUGCUGAUUUACUAAACAUUAACGAGUCCUGUCUUUUUUAAACUCUUGUAAUUAAUAUAGUAAAAUAGGAUGUAUGUGUCAUUUAAGUCUUUUGUUGUAGGCUUAACAACCAUGUUUACCGGGUAGUGUACUGGGUGGUUUAGUUACAAUUACCACAACAUAGAAAACAAAGACACGUUGUUUGUGUCUAGAAAAAUACGCUUAGAUUAAGUCUUCUAAGGCUGAAUGAAAGGAUUGAAUGGUUUUAGGUGAUUAUAAAUACUUGCAAAGUAACUGUUAUUGUGAGUGGCUUAUGAUUCUCAGAUUUGAUGU